RNAcentral lists this ribosomal RNA (301 nucleotides) under uncultured bacterium. Its description in RNAcentral is "partial 16S ribosomal RNA". It matches the Rfam family "Bacterial small subunit ribosomal RNA", at positions 509 to 809 of the family's 1533-position model. The record is from RNAcentral.
CAGUAGCCGCGGUAAAACGAAGGGUGCAAGCGUUACUCGGAAUUACUGGGCGUAAAGCGUGCGCAGGUGGUGGUUUAAGUCCGUUGUGAAAGCCCUGGGCUCAACCUGGGAAUUGCAGUGGAUACUGGGUCACUAGAGUGUGGUAGAGGAUAGUGGAAUUUCCGGUGUAGCAGUGAAAUGCGUAGAGAUCGGAAGGAACAUCUGUGGCGAAGGCGACUAUCUGGGCCAACACUGACACUGAGGCACGAAAGCGUGGGGAGCAAACAGGAUUAGAUACCCCAGUAGUCCCUGUCUCUUAUAU